AUACGUAGGGGACGAGCGUUGUCCGGAAUUACUGGGCGUAAAGGGCGCGCAGGCGGAUAUUUAAGUCAGCUGUAAAAGGCAUGAGCUCAACUCAUGUAUGCGGUUGAAACUGGGUAUCUAGAGUGCUGGAGAGGUAGGCGGAAUUCCCAGUGUAGCGGUGAAAUGCGUAGAUAUCGGGAAGAACACCAGUGGCGAAGGCGGCUUACUGGCCAGCAACUGACGCUGAGGCGCGAAAGCCAGGGGAGCGAACGGGAUUAGAUACCCCGGUAGUCCUGGCCGUAAACGAUGAAUGCUAGGUGUGGGUGUCGAGAGGCAUCCGUGCCGGAGUUAACGCGAUAAGCAUUCCGCCUGGGGAGUACGAUCGCAAGAUUGAAACUUAAAGGAAUUGACGGGG
Molecule: ribosomal RNA, 394 nt
Filed under: uncultured bacterium
Lineage: Bacteria
Description: partial 16S ribosomal RNA
Rfam family: Bacterial small subunit ribosomal RNA
Source: RNAcentral